GAGGUCUGCCAAGAACAGAGCAAUGCUGCCAGGGCUGUGGUUCCCGGUAACGCGCCGAAAGAGGACCUCUAUGGGCCAGAGGAACUCCUGGAGGCCAGGCCGGCUGGCUCUUCGUCGGGUGCCGGAGCAUCCCCCCUCCCCGCAUUCCCGAGGUGGUUCGGCCCGAGAGGCCGGCGUCUCUCCCCCAGUUUGCCGUUCACCCGGAGCGCUCGGGACUUGCCCGUAGUGGUGACGGCGGCAACAUGUCUGUGGCGUUCGCAGCCCCGAGGCAGCGAGGCAAGGGGGAGAUCACUCCCGCUGCGAUUCAGAAGAUGUUGGAUGAAAAUAACCAUCUUAUUCAGUGUAUAAUGGACUAUCAGAAUAAAGGAAAGACCUCAGAGUGUUCUCAGUAUCAGCAGAUGUUGCAUACGAACUUGGUCUACCUUGCUACAAUAGCAGAUUCUAAUCAAAAUAUGCAGUCUCUUUUACCAGCACCGCCCACACAGAAUAUGCCUAUGGGUCCUGGAGGGAUGAAUCAGAGUGGCCCUCCCCCACCUCCACGCUCUCACAACAUGCCUUCAGAUGGAAUGGUAGGUGGGGGUCCUCCUGCACCACACAUGCAGAACCAGAUGAACGGCCAGAUGCCUGGGCCUAACCAUAUGCCUAUUCAGGGACCUGGACCCAAUCAACUCAAUAUGACAAACAGUUCCAUGAACAUGCCUUCCAGUAGCCAUGGAUCCAUGGGAGGUUACAACCAUUCUGUGCCAUCAUCACAGAGCAUGCCAGUACAGAAUCAGAUGACGAUGAGUCAAGGGCAACCAAUAGGAAGCUAUGGCCCCAGACCAAAUAUGAAUAUGCAGCCAAACCAAGGUCCAAUGAUGCAUCAGCAGCCUCCUUCUCAACAAUACAAUAUGCCACAGGGAGGUGGGCAACAUUAUCAAGGCCAGCAACCCCCUAUGGGAAUGAUGGGUCAAGUUAACCAAGGCAAUCAUAUGAUGGGUCAGAGACAGAUUCCUCCUUAUAGACCACCUCAGCAGGGCCCACCACAGCAGUACUCAGGCCAGGAAGACUAUUAUGGGGACCAAUACAGUCAUGGUGGACAAGGUCCUCCAGAAGGCAUGAACCAGCAAUAUUACCCUGAUGGUCAUAAUGAUUACGGUUAUCAGCAACCGUCGUAUCCUGAACAAGGCUACGAUAGGCCUUAUGAGGAUUCCUCACAACAUUACUACGAAGGAGGAAAUUCACAGUAUGGCCAACAGCAAGAUGCCUACCAGGGACCCCCUCCCCAACAGGGGUACCCGCCCCAGCAGCAGCAGUACCCGGGGCAGCAAGGCUACCCAGGGCAGCAGCAGGCCUAUGGUCCUUCACAGGGUGGUCCAGGUCCUCAGUAUCCUAACUACCCUCAAGGACAAGGUCAGCAAUAUGGGGGUUAUAGACCAACACAGCCUGGGCCACCACAGCCGCCACAGCAGAGGCCUUAUGGAUAUGACCAGGUUUUUGUGUGGGCAUAAAUUUUCAACUCAUUUGGAUAAAAACCAAGGAGCACGCUUGCUGGAUUAUAUGGGACAGUAUGGAAAUUACCAGCAGUGAAAAAGUACUUACAUUCCAAUAGCCAGUAUCUAUUAGCAGCCAUAUUGUCACCUCAGCACUGUGGACACCUCUGUGUGAAGAGAUUCUUCCAUUCCAUCUAGUUUUUGGAAAAACCUUGUGGAUAAGUGGCUGUUUCCUCAGUAAGCAGCCUUUGUGGCUUAGUUGUAAAGGCUUUAGUAGCUAAAAAAUACUCUUGAUUUCACAUUUCUACUCUAGAUGGCAACAUUGGACAGAAAAUACAAUGACAUAACCAAUUUGCAAUGAUUUGGGAACUGUGUUUCAAAUGGACUGUUAUAGACUGAAAGGUGUGAACAGCUUUGUAUGUUUAUGAAGGUUAAGGGAAUUUAAUACUUUUCCACAGAUUCUUUUGUAAGGGGAAGAGGGAAAUGUACACUUUUUACAGCAGCAAUAUUUUGUAUAUUAUGUUUAUUUCAUGUGGUGAAUAUGCAAGGCGGUACACUACGCAUUGGACAGAAUCCGAAAUCCUCUGUUAAAAUGUGGAUUGGAGCAUGGUGGAUGCUUGAUUGUGUUGGGUCUCAAAAUGGUGUACUAUAAAAGAUAAAGGUGAGGGAGAAGACAAAGCACACCAUAUGUCCACUAUUAUGUUCUUUAGAGAAAAUUCAGAUCCCUUUUAUCUGUUAGAUAAACAAGGGCACUGUGAUAGUUUUGAGUAAAAAGACAUUUUUUUAAAAGCUUUCCAGUUUUGUGGAUUAAAACCUUUUUAUAAAGAUCAUUUAUAAUACAGUUUUAAAAUGUGAGGCAAUAAGAAUUAUUUCAUGUGGGAUCUGAAGAAUCUUGGUAGCAGUUUCAUGUAAAUGAAGUGGUAAUUCUCUCCUAAAAUAGCAAUAACUGAAAAUGGAAGUGUUAAUUUUACUUUGAGUAAUCAGGGAACUUAGUAAGUAAUAUCAAAGCAUUUUAAAAAUAAUAUCAGAGAGGAGUCAACAUUGAUCUAGUAAUUUUAUUUUUUAACAUUAGAAGGACAAUUGGUUUAUAUAAUAGAAUAGUUCAGUAGACUUUACAAACCUUUAUUUCAACUUCCUUCCCUGGAAAUAAUACCAUUUAUAAAAGGACACUCUUAAAUUUUUCCCUUCUUAUUUUGGUUAAUGUAACACAAAGAGAUGUUUAGGAAAAUGCUUAUUGAUGAGGUUUAUUCUGAUGAGGUUUAGUCUAUAUUAAAAGCAUAGAGGUUGCAUUCUAGAUCACUUUGUUUAUUAGCGUGGCAUAUUUAAUCAUAUUUGAGACUGUCCUAUGCCUGAUUAUUUUAGCUAAAUUCAGGGAUAUUGCAUUGGGCAGGAAAUCAUGCAUUGAAAAGUUUAUAACCACAAUUAUUUAAGCAUAAUCUGAAAACAUCUAGCCCAAAGGUAAGUUGCUAUUUUCAUCACAGUUGCCUAUGCCCAGGGAAUAAGAUGUAUUCUUUAUAAUUGAAUUGAUUUUUCCCACUUCUAACUGGAAACAAAACAGAAGGGGUGCCAUAAAUUUGAAUACGCAAAAUGUACUGUUCUCAACAUACUGUAAUCAAAAGGAGGAAUUUUAAUGUGUUUCUGUGUGUGUAUGAGAGAGUGUGUGUUUUAAGGUCUGAAUAGAGUUUUUUUGAACUUGGUCAGUAGAAAAUGGACAUCAAGUUUGAACAGAUAAAGCAUGGACAGCCUUAUUGUGAUUGAAAAUGCUUAUAGGUUCUGUGCCAAUUUUCCACCACUGUGUACUUUGUUGCUAUUUAAAACUGUAUCAACUCUAACGGAAGAAUAAAUUAUUUGUGAUUUUAA
Molecule: RNA transcript, 3332 nt
Organism: Lutra lutra (Eurasian river otter)
Lineage: Eukaryota; Metazoa; Chordata; Mammalia; Carnivora; Mustelidae
Gene: SS18
Gene name: SS18 subunit of BAF chromatin remodeling complex
Exons: 12
Source: RefSeq, a predicted model, not a curated record